RNAcentral lists this ribosomal RNA (418 nucleotides) under uncultured bacterium. RNAcentral describes it as "bacterial SSU rRNA". It matches the Rfam family "Bacterial small subunit ribosomal RNA", at positions 101 to 507 of the family's 1533-position model. The record is from RNAcentral.
AACGGGUGAGUAACACGUAGGAACCUACCUCUUAGCAGGGGAUAACUAUUUAGGAAACAAUGCUAUACGUAUAAUAAUUAAAACCGCAUUGGUUUUAAGUUUAAAGAUGGUCUUGCUAUCACUAAGAGAUGGUCCCGCGGUGUAUUAGUUAGUUGGUGAGGUAAUGGCUCACCAAGACAAUGAUACAUAGCCGAGUUGAGAGACUGACCGGCCACAAUGGGACUGAGACACGGCCCAUACUCCUACGGGAGGCAGCAGUAGGGAAUCUUCCACAAUGGACGAAAGUCUGAUGGAGCAACGCCGCGUGUGUGAUGAAGGGUUUCGGCUCGUAAAACACUGUUGUAAGAGAAGAAUGACAUUGAGAGUAACUGUUCAAUGUGUGACGGUAUCUUACCAGAAAGGAACGGCUAAAUACGUG